GCAGUUCCCCUGUAGACACACGUGGGGGCGCUGUUCUGUCUUGUUGAUGGAGCAUUGAGCGACGAGAAGAAGACUGACGUACCUAUAAAAGGCGCGGUUCAGAGACGGGUGACUAGUUGUUGAUGCAAUGACACUGAUGGAAGAACUUUUAAAACAUAUUAGGCGUUCAAAUACACACAAGAGCAGAAAGAAAAUUCUGAAAUGGAUGCAGAAACGUGGUAUCCUGGCGACGACGAUGAAGUGCGCAAAAUGCAACCGUCACAUGCAUCUGGUGAAAUGCCAUGUCAAGGAUGGGCUGUGGUGGGUCUGUAAGCAUCAUAAAAGUUUCCCAAAGUAUGUACGUAAUGGCUCAAUAUUCACCAAGUCUCACAUCCCUCUGACAAAAUGGCUUGAGUUCAUGCACAGGUCUGCAUUGCUGCUGUCAAGCGACAGAGGAAAAGAUGUAUGAGGAUUGGUGGUCGUCAUCAAGUUGUUGUUAUUGACGAGAGCAAAUUUGCCCACAAACGAAAGUACCAUCAUUGUCGAUGUGGCAACACUUGGCGCCGUGAACGGCAGUGGGUCUUUGGGAUGUUGGAGGUCGACAAGAAGUCCAGAAGACCCAUUCUGAGACUUGUCAGGGAUCGCAGAAGGAAGACACUUAUAGGUCAUAUUAGACGCCAUGUCAGACCCAGAACAUCCAUCCUCAGUGAUGAAUGGCGUGCCUACAAAGGGCAACUUGCCCAGUAUGGGUAUGAUCAUUAUUCGGUCUGCCAUAAAAACAACUUUGUGGACCGAGAGACUGGUGCUCAUACUCAGCAUAUUGAGCGUGCAUAGUAAAGCUACAAGCUGGAAGUAUGGCGUCACAGAGGGAAUCGUACUCCUGAAUCACUCAAGCUUCAUCUUAAGAUGAUAGAAUGGCACCACUGGUUGGGUGUACACCAUUACAAUGGCGUGUUGGGCAGACUUUUCCAUGAUUUUUUUUUUUUUUACUUUACUUUUUACUGAUGUGAAAAAACUUGUUUUUUCACAUCAGUAAAAAGUAAAGUAAAAAAAAAAAAAAUCUCAACAAUGUCUGCUGGCAUUUAUGCAUCUAUGUUGUGGCGUUAAACUCAUUAUAUGUUCUCCUGAGCAGAUCCUUGCUUGUGUUUUACAAACUGUCACUGGAUGAACAUCACAACAAAAUGUUUUGUUUUGAAAUACAUAAAGGAAAAACUAU
Molecule: long non-coding RNA, 1195 nt
Organism: Gasterosteus aculeatus aculeatus (three-spined stickleback)
Lineage: Eukaryota; Metazoa; Chordata; Actinopteri; Perciformes; Gasterosteidae
Source: Ensembl